CACACCGCCCGUCACACCAUGGGAGUGGGUUUCACCAGAACGCCGGUCGCUUAACCGCAAGGAUGGCGCCGACCACGGCGAGAUUCAUGACUGGGGUG
RNAcentral lists this ribosomal RNA (98 nucleotides) under uncultured bacterium. Its description in RNAcentral is "partial 16S ribosomal RNA". It matches the Rfam family "Bacterial small subunit ribosomal RNA", at positions 1386 to 1482 of the family's 1533-position model. The record is from RNAcentral.